Molecule: ribosomal RNA, 492 nt
Filed under: uncultured bacterium
Lineage: Bacteria
Description: partial 16S ribosomal RNA
Rfam family: Bacterial small subunit ribosomal RNA
Source: RNAcentral
AGUGAACGCUGGCGGUAGACCUAACACAUGCAAGUCGAACGGCAGCACAGUAAGAGCUUGCUCUUACGGGUGGCGAGUGGCGGACGGGUGAGGAAUACAUCGGAAUCUACUUUUUCGUGGGGGAUAACGUAGGGAAACUUACGCUAAUACCGCAUACGACCUACGGGUGAAAGCAGGGGAUCUUCGGACCUUGCGCGAUUGAAUGAGCCGAUGUCGGAUUAGCUAGUUGGCGGGGUAAAGGCCCACCAAGGCGACGAUCCGUAGCUGGUCUGAGAGGAUGAUCAGCCACACUGGAACUGAGACACGGACCAGACUACUACGGGAGGCAGCAGUGGGGAAUAUUGGACAAUGGGCGCAAGCCUGAUCCAGCCAUACCGCGUGGGUGAAGAAGGACUUCGGGUUGUAAAGCCCUUUUGUUGGGAAAGAAAAGCAGCAGGUUAAUACCCCGCUGUUCUGACGGUACCCAAAGAAUAAGCACCGGCUAACUUCGUG